RNAcentral lists this ribosomal RNA (261 nucleotides) under uncultured archaeon. RNAcentral's name for it is "partial 16S ribosomal RNA". It matches the Rfam family "Archaeal small subunit ribosomal RNA", at positions 748 to 1008 of the family's 1478-position model. The record is from RNAcentral.
AGGGUGUAAACGCUGCCGACUUGGUGUUGGAGGCCCUUCGGGGGCAUUCAGUGCCGGAGAGAAGUUGUUAAGUCGGCCACUUGGGGAGUACGUCCGCAAGGAUGAAACUUAAAGGAAUUGGCGGGGGAGCACCGCAACGGGAGGAGCGUGCGGUUUAAUUGGAUUCAACACCGGAAAACUCACCAAGGGCGACUGUUACAUGAAAGCCAGGCUAAUGACCUUGCUUGAUUUUCAGAGAGGUGGUGCAUGGCGUCAGUGACU